GUUCGCUUUCCGUUCGGCGGGUUGGGUACUGGCGGAAAUUGAAUGCAGGGUCCAGUAUCUUCUCUGCCUAGAGCGGUGCUCAUUUGGAAGCUCGGGCCUGCAGCGUAGAGAAGAGGAGCGGUGGCGGCGAGGCACCAUGGAUUUCCUGAUGCAGCCAAUCGACGGAUCCACUCUCCUUGCAGAAGUAGGCGAGAGCUUGGUGCCAGUCCCUGUGCCGCAAGUGCCGUCGGGAGGCGCUAUGGUGGAGGAGUAGGAGGUGGCAGAGCAGCAACGGGCGGUGGACAGUAAGUAGAAACUGAAUUUAUAGUGUUAUCAGAUUUUCGCGGCCAAGGAGGCGGCGGCGGAUAGGAGGGAGAGCUCGCCUCCGACGUCGGAGCUGUCAGUUGGGAAGAUGAAUCCGCGGGUGGUGACUGCGUGGAACAAGAGGGUAAAGUUGGUGUUAAGAACACAAGGUCUUGCCGUUGCAAAUGUCAGACGCUGGGUGGUACAUCACAGAGCAUUGGGAGAGCCACAACCAUUCCCUUUCACCAAACUUUGGCGAGAUGGUGCAUUGGCCAUGGCACAAGCAUAUAUAUCUGAUAAAGCAGUUGCGGCAAAACAAUGCCAACCUUGCGAAGUUGUAUGGUAUCAUAGGGAACUUCUUUGGAUCAAUGGAGAAUGUGCCAUUCACCAAAAGGUCUUUGCGCAAUCUCCGUGGGAAGAUAAAUAGGGAGCAGGUCGAUGAUGAUGGAGGUGUUUGCUGAAAUUGGGGCCAAGGAUCCGCAUUUCACAUACAAAAUUCAGGCUGACAAUGAGGGCGGGAUUAACAACCUGAUGUGGGCAAGUGGAAACAGCAGGCUGCAGUACACAUUUUUCAGGGAUGUGAUAACAUUUGACACCAUGUACUGGACUAAUUUGUACGAAAUGCUGUUCAGCCUAUUGUUGGUGUUAAUAGUCAUUUCCAGAGUACCAUCCUGGCAGAGGUGCUUGUUUGUGAUGAGACAACUGAGAGUUCUGAAUGUUUUCUCAGAAUUUCUUAGAGUGAUGGGCGGCGCUCCUCUGAUGACUAUACUUACUGGUAAGUUCUUGCUUUCCUGGUGUGCUUUGCAGUCCCUAUUCAGGCUAUGGAGCUGGCUAUCAAAGAGCAUUAUGCCAGACACCACAUGCUGGCGGUGCAAGUAUCACAUGCUCAAGAACGCAAAAUAAACGUUGGGCCCUCUGUACACCAAGAAGGGUGAAUUCAAGCAGAGUCCCAUGAGGUGGUGAACUACAUGCUCACGGUAGAUGGGUUUGAGAAUGGGUGGGUGAUGCUGCUGGAUGAAUACAAGCUAUGGAGACGCCCGUACAUGACUCUACUUCUCGAGAUCAGAAAGAAAUGGACAAAGCCGUAUUUCGAAGGUGUUUUAUGUGCAACGAUGAGCACAUAAAGGAGUGAUGGUGUCUAAUGGAUAUGUUUGUGCAGAAGUAUAUGAUGCUUCUGUUCGACAGACUCGGGCGAGAACUAUUGAGGAGAAGAGAACAAGAAUUUGUUAUUUCAGUUUGGAAAAUAUAGAGUACUGAGCAUGGUACUAAUGGUUACAACUGGUUCCUGAUUUAGGGGAGAUCUUUGAUGAGGGUGCUUCGACAGGUGGAGUUGUUGGGAGAAAUGUGGCUGCCGGAAACAGUAAUCGUCGCUGGCAGGCAAAAAUUGUAGGACGGAGGUAUGUUGGUGGUGCCUCCGAGACAGGGAACAUGGGUUCUACUAAAGCGGUCUUGGAGACGGUAGGGGAAUAAGAAGUCAGAAAGAGGCAACAAAAGGCGGAGGAGAGUGAGGUUCUCGAACAUUGUUGAAACGAUUUGUCGAUCGGAAACCUCAGAAACCGAAGACACUUCAAGUGAUAAUCACAGCAUGGCAAGUGAGGAUGAUGACCUUCGUGCGCGUCGUGCAGGAAGUGACAAGGAGCAAGGUUAUAAACUUAUAAUACAGUGGUGGCACUGGAAAGGGUGGCGACAGAGUCCAAAAGGGUGGAGGUGUUGCUGCUGCACUUGGUUCUGGAAUUGGCAUGGAAGGAGGGGCAGCUGAUGAUGGAACUAAUUCUUGUGGGAGGAUCCAGCGUCAUGACUGUGAGCUUGGAUACACAUUCAGGGGUUCUUCAGGUUAGUGGAAUUGUUGAAUGUUUGAGAGUAGUAUAUAGUGCCUAUCAGGGCGGAUGUACGGAUAACUUGUGUCGACCACAAUGUCAGAGGUUGGAGGUAGCUCAAGCCAAGGAGGAUGUGGUGGCAAUGCAAAUGUUGAAGAGGAGAAACUCCAUGCGCAAUUGAGGAAGAAAUAAUAAUGGGAGGGGACGAGGCGAAUGAAUCUUGCAGAGGAAAGUUGGUUGGUGGAUUGGUGGCUGCAAAUAAAUGAGUUGGUUUGGACAAUGUUUCCGUCUGUGCGUGUCAUCUGAGCACCGUCUGAGACGUCAAGCAUGAGACGGCGGCCGUCACAUUAAGUCUGGUUGGUGGGUGGGCCAUGGUCUGCAAAAGAAUUGCAUAUACUACUUUGAAUACAUAGACAUAUACGUGGAGUGGUGGGAAUCUUGGCGCUAGUGGACGUAGGAGAUAAGGAGCACAUAUGAGCCCGAGCUCAUAAUAGUACUUCCCGUGACCGAGCAAUAUCUUCCUUUCUUGACAUAGUAAUUAUAUGCACAUGACCAGACAAUUUGGAUGCCAUAGUAAUUAUACACACGUGACCGGA
This is a long non-coding RNA of Triticum dicoccoides, 2695 nucleotides long. RefSeq lists it as uncharacterized. The record is from RefSeq and is a predicted model, not a curated record. Lineage: Eukaryota; Viridiplantae; Streptophyta; Magnoliopsida; Poales; Poaceae. The transcript is spliced from 8 exons.